This 72-nucleotide transfer RNA is filed under the name Heterocephalus glaber (naked mole-rat). It matches the Rfam family "tRNA". Rfam says of the family: Transfer RNA (tRNA) molecules are approximately 80 nucleotides in length. Their secondary structure includes four short double-helical elements and three loops (D, anti-codon, and T loops). The record is from Rfam by way of RNAcentral. Lineage: Eukaryota; Metazoa; Chordata; Mammalia; Rodentia; Bathyergidae.
UUGGGUGUAGCUCAGUGGCAGAGCACUUGCCUGGUAUGUACAAUUUCCUGGGUUUAACUCCCAGGACUGAAA